AUGGCAUCUCUGCUCCUCUUGCCUGUGCUAUUGCUGCCACUAUUGUUCCCCUCAUCCACCCAAGCUCAGAGAAACAUCACCCUGGGAUCCACAUUGGCACCCCAGGGGCCAACAUCGUCAUGGCUCUCACCCUCUGGCGACUUUGCUUUCGGCUUCCGACCCGUUGAGGGAAAUGCCUCCUUCUACCUCCUCGCCAUCUGGUUCAACAAGAUCAGCGACAAGACGGUCGCUUGGUAUGCCAAGAUUAUGGACCAAGAUCCAUCGGAGGUAUAG
Molecule: ribosomal RNA, 273 nt
Filed under: Triticum aestivum (bread wheat)
Lineage: Eukaryota; Viridiplantae; Streptophyta; Magnoliopsida; Poales; Poaceae
Description: partial small subunit ribosomal RNA
Source: RNAcentral